RNAcentral lists this ribosomal RNA (522 nucleotides) under uncultured Glomeraceae. Its description in RNAcentral is "SSU rRNA". It matches the Rfam family "Eukaryotic small subunit ribosomal RNA", at positions 569 to 1092 of the family's 1831-position model. The record is from RNAcentral. Lineage: Eukaryota; Fungi; Glomeromycota; Glomeromycetes; Glomerales; Glomeraceae.
AGCAGCCGCGGUAAUUCCAGCUCCAAUAGCGUAUAUUAAAGUUGCUGCAGUUAAAAAGCUCGUAGUUGAAUUUCGGGGUUAGUAGGUUGGUCAUGCCUCUGGUAUGUACUGGUCUCACUGAUUCCUCCUUCCUGACGAACCUUAAUGCCAUUAAUUUGGUGUUUUGGGAAAUUUGGACUGUUACUUUGAAAAAAUUAGAGUGUUUAAAGCAAGCUAACGCUUGAAUACAUUAGCAUGGAAUAAUGAAAUAGGACGUUUGAUUCUAUUUUGUUGGUUUCUAGGAUCGACGUAAUGAUUAAUAGGGAUAGUUGGGGGCAUUAGUAUUCAAUUGUCAGAGGUGAAAUUCUUGGAUUUAUUGAAGACUAACUACUGCGAAAGCAUUUGCCAAGGAUGUUUUCAUUAAUCAAGAACGAAAGUUAGGGGAUCGAAGACGAUCAGAUACCGUCGUAGUCUUAACCAUAAACUAUGCCGACUAGGGAUCGGAUGAUGUUAAUUUUUUAAUGACUCAUUCGGCGCCUUACG